UUUAUGUGUUAAUUUUUUUUACCAGAGCGAUUUAUUGCCGUGUAGAGAGCAUUGAAAAAGAUUAGUUGGGAAAGAGCAGCGAAGAAUCGGAAGAGUCUCAACCGCAAAUAAAUAGAUCUUACCGGGGCGAAAUAAGAGGGAAUUUUGAGGGCAUGAAUUAGCAUAAAUGAGGUGCAUCUCCGUCAACCAAACGCCACGAUCGCAACCCAUUGAAGUCAUUGAAGAAUUGAUGGGAGCCGCGCGCAAUGGAGGGCUCUAAAUUGAUGUCGACCACCAUAAAUGGGCGUCUUUGUGCGCCACAAUUACAUCAAAAUGAUUGCAUAAUUGGCCACAGACGAUCUCUCUCUCAUCCAGGGUACAACAUGAGAGACAAUAAAUCCAUCGAGUGCGCUUACAGGGCCUUAGCAACGAGUCAGCACAUCUCGGGCUUCCGUGGGUAAUAUUUUGGCGCCAUUGUCCCGUGGAAAUCUCAAUCAAGACCCUCAAAUGGAACUCUGUUGAUGAUUGGAUG
Long non-coding RNA from Lutzomyia longipalpis, 511 nucleotides. RefSeq lists it as uncharacterized. Lineage: Eukaryota; Metazoa; Arthropoda; Insecta; Diptera; Psychodidae. The transcript is spliced from 3 exons. The record is from RefSeq and is a predicted model, not a curated record.